Mycobacterium sp. 1274756.6 is the source of this 119-nucleotide non-coding RNA. The record is from Rfam. Lineage: Bacteria; Bacillati; Actinomycetota; Actinomycetes; Mycobacteriales; Mycobacteriaceae.
GGUCAUGAGCGCCAGCGUCAAGCCCCGGCUUGCUGGCCGGCAACCCUCCAACCGCGGUGGGGUGCCCCGGGUGAUGACCAGGUUGAGUGGCCGGAACGGCUACGCGGCAAGCGCGGGUC